AAACGCGACAAGUUCAGGGUGUAAUUGAUACUUCUGUCUUAUGAAAAAAAUAGGAAGUUUAGAAAUGCACUCUUUAAUUUUGGCAUGCAAUAUCGAUCUCCCGUACAAAUUUCGAUUACGGGCACGGUACGCAGUUCACAUAUUUACUUGUGACAUCUGUUUUAACCCAAUCUCACCUGAAUCCAAGACUUUGUUAACUUAGAUGUGGAAGCAUGAGUGGCAAUGGGGUUGGUGAAGAGGACAACAAUUUUGUAGCAAGUGCUUGUCAUAUGAGGAAAAGCCAAAGUAUCAUUCUUACUUUUGGUUAUAGCUAAUCCUUCCACUAGUUUCUACUUUUAUAAACAACCAUUUACAAGUUAGGUAGGUUGGUGAUAAUUGAGAACCUUUACACCUUCUUUUUAAAGAAGAAUAAACUAAUAAUGUAAACUCCAACAAUGUUUUGCUUCAAGACAAAGUAAUCUUAUGAGUUAGCAAGUCUCUAUAAAAGGAACACACAAGUUUAAGAGAGACAGCCUAUCACGUUAGAUCUCCUCUUCAUAGAUCCACUAGUUGAGAAACUCCAGUAAUUACAAGAUCUAAUAAGGUAAAUUCCUCAACCCCUUCUCUUCUCGGACUUCACUAAAUCCACAGGAUACUUGCGACCUCCCACCAACAAUAGAUAUCAGGUCUUAUGGCUAGUGAUGGACCAAGUUGGGCAGAUCAAUGGGGUGCAGGAGGGAUAGGUGCGAUGGAUGAAGAUGACGGCUAUUCUAAGAGCAACAAAGAAAGUGGCAACAACAAGAAAGCCACUGCUUCAUCAGGAGGAAUUGGCAAGGUGAAAGCAGUGGCAGUGGCUGGUGCACACAAGGUGAAAAAUGGUCCUUCCAUUUUCAUCAAAUGGGUUAGGAGCAAAUCCCAGAAGAAAAAUUCUUCCAUUUCAUGAAAAUAGUGAAAGACUAUUUAGUCUUUAUCUUGCCUUCUGUAAGAGGAUUUCAGAUCAAGCAUGUCUUGUUUGGGGUUCCAAAUGGAAAUCAUGGAUUGUUGUGCUUCGUUGGUAUCAUUUGUUUAGUGUUGUAAGUUUCAGGUAGUGACUUGUUUCUGGGUGAGUUGAACUUCCAUGCACCAAUGGUGUAAAUAUAAUGUGUUUAACUAGAUUACUUUUACGGUAAUUACAUGUUAAUUUUUAAGACUCGAA
Molecule: long non-coding RNA, 1174 nt
Organism: Capsicum annuum
Lineage: Eukaryota; Viridiplantae; Streptophyta; Magnoliopsida; Solanales; Solanaceae
Exons: 2
Source: RefSeq, a predicted model, not a curated record